GAACGCUGGCGGCGUGCCUAACACAUGCAAGUCGAGCGAGGAGAUUCCUCGGGAUGAUCCUAGCGGCGGACGGGUGAGUAACACGUGGGCAACCUGCCUCAUAGAGAGGAAUAGCCUUCCGAAAGGGAGAUUAAUGCCUCAUAACAUUGCAGUUUCGCAUGGAACAGCAAUUAAAGGAGUAAUCCGCUAUGAGAUGGGCCCGCGGCGCAUUAGCUAGUUGGUGAGGUAACGGCUCACCAAGGCGACGAUGCGUAGCCGACCUGAGAGGGUGAUCGGCCACAUUGGGACUGAGACACGGCCCAGACUCCUACGGGAGGCAGCAGUGGGGAAUAUUGCACAAUGGGGGAAACCCUGAUGCAGCCAACGCCGCGUGAGUGAUGACGGCCUUCGGGUUGUAAAGCUCUGUCUUCAGGGACGAUAAUGACGGUACCUGAGGAGGAAGCCACAGCUAACUACGUGCCAGCAGCCGC
This 470-nucleotide ribosomal RNA is filed under the name uncultured bacterium. Its description in RNAcentral is "bacterial SSU rRNA". It matches the Rfam family "Bacterial small subunit ribosomal RNA", at positions 31 to 518 of the family's 1533-position model. The record is from RNAcentral.